This 509-nucleotide ribosomal RNA is filed under the name uncultured bacterium. RNAcentral describes it as "bacterial SSU rRNA". It matches the Rfam family "Bacterial small subunit ribosomal RNA", at positions 19 to 518 of the family's 1533-position model. The record is from RNAcentral.
CUGGCUCAGGAUGAACGCUAGCGGCAGGCUUAACACAUGCAAGGUCGAGGGGCAGCGCGCGGGUAGCAAUACCUGUGGCGGCGACCGGCGCAAGGGUGCGUAACGCGUGAGCAACAUGCCCGUAUCAGGGGGAUAAGCGAUGGAAACGUCGUCUAAUACCGCAUAACAACAGGGAAGACAUCUUCCUUGUUUGAAAGAUUCGUCGGAUACGGAUUGGCUCGCGAGACAUUAGCUAGACGGCGGGGUAACGGCCCACCGUGGCGACGAUGUCUAGGGGUUCUGAGAGGAAGGUCCCCCACACUGGAACUGAGACACGGUCCAGACUCCUACGGGAGGCAGCAGUGAGGAAUAUUGGACAAUGGUCGGAAGACUGAUCCAGCCAUGCCGCGUGAAGGCCAGACGGUCCUAUGGAUUGUAAACUUCUUUUGUACGGGAGCAAUAAGGAUCACGCGUGGUCCGAUGAGAGUACCGUACGAAUAAGCAUCGGCUAACUCCGUGCCAGCCGCCGC